RNAcentral lists this ribosomal RNA (484 nucleotides) under uncultured bacterium. RNAcentral describes it as "partial 16S ribosomal RNA". It matches the Rfam family "Bacterial small subunit ribosomal RNA", at positions 30 to 507 of the family's 1533-position model. The record is from RNAcentral.
AUUGAACGCUGGCGGCAGGCCUAACACAUGCAAGUCGAGCGGUUGAAGGGAGCUUGCUCCUGUAUUCAGCGGCGGACGGGUGAGUAAUGCCUAGGAAUCUGCCUGGUAGUGGGGGAUAACGUCCGGAAACGGGCGCUAAUACUGCAUACGUCCUGAGGGAGAAAGUGGGGGAUCUUCGGACCUCACGCUAUCAGAUGAGCCUAGGUCGGAUUAGCUAGUUGGUGGGGUAAAGGCCUACCAAGGCGACGAUCCGUAACUGGUCUGAGAGGAUGAUCAGUCACACUGGAACUGAGACACGGUCCAGACUCCUACGGGAGGCAGCAGUGGGGAAUAUUGGACAAUGGGCGAAAGCCUGAUCCAGCCAUGCCGCGUGUGUGAAGAAGGUCUUCGGAUUGUAAAGCACUUUAAGUUGGGAGGAAGGGCAGUAAGUUAAUACCUUGCUGUUUUGACGUUACCAACAGAAUAAGCACCGGCUAACUUCGUG